Molecule: ribosomal RNA, 500 nt
Filed under: Heterotolyposporium lepidospermatis
Lineage: Eukaryota; Fungi; Basidiomycota; Ustilaginomycetes; Ustilaginales; Ustilaginaceae
Description: LSU rRNA
Rfam family: Eukaryotic large subunit ribosomal RNA
Source: RNAcentral
CCUAGUAACGGCGAGUGAAGAGGGAAGAGCCCAAGAUUGAAAGCUGGCGCCUUCGGCGUCCGCAUUGUAAUCUCAAGAAGCGUUUUCCGCUUCGGACCAAGCCUAAGUCCCUUGGAAAAGGGCAUCGUAGAGGGUGAAAAUCCCGUACAUGGCUUGGAGCGCCCGAAGCUUUGUGAUACGUUUGCAAAGAGUCGAGUUGUUUGGGAAUGCAGCUCAAAAUGGGUGGUAAAUGCCAUCUAAGGCUAAAUAUUGGGGAGAGACCGAUAGCGAACAAGUGCCGUGAGGGAAAGAUGAAAAGAACUUUGAAGAGAGAGUUAAACAGUACGUGAAAUUGCCAAAAGGGAAGGGUAGGAGGUCCAGAGAUGCGUCUGGGAUCACCUUGCUUUUGCUUGGUGUUUUCCCAUUUGCAGGCCACUUCGGUUUGGGCACUGAGAGGUAGAGAUUGACCUCUCGAUUUUAGCCCUCGUACACGAACAGAACGCUUCUAAGGCUCGCUCGGG